Molecule: long non-coding RNA, 453 nt
Filed under: Equus caballus (horse)
Lineage: Eukaryota; Metazoa; Chordata; Mammalia; Perissodactyla; Equidae
Description: lncRNA (ENSECAG00000054223.1)
Source: RNAcentral
ACAAGAAAGGCAAUAUGCCUGCGUGCGGGAUCUUCAGUCUUAAUAUCGUCAUUAUCUCCCUCACCACUUUCAAUAUUGCUUCUAGCAUUGCCAUGUAGCAACGGAGACAGCCUACAUCUACUGAUUUUUUUUCUACCUUAUUAGCCACAGCUCUUGCAGCAAUGGGGCACAGACCCACCUGUGGUGAAGGGCAAUACAUGCAGCAAGCAGAAGACAGCAUUCUCAGGGCAGGAACCAGCACCAUAGCAGCAUCCACACUGAUGGGCACCCCAGAAGUGCAGCACUUCCUUCAUGGGCAUCAGGGCCCUCAGGAGGGCAUCGCUCUGCAGAGACUUCCAGAAAUAGUUGCAAGGAGACUUCAGCUUUGAAGAAGCAAGCUUCCAUGAACGUACAGGCACAAGAAAAUGAAUUCUGCCAACAACCCAAGGGAACUGGGAAGAGGGUCUUCUCUAG